This is a non-coding RNA of Rattus norvegicus (Norway rat), 4797 nucleotides long. NCBI's taxonomy places the organism in Eukaryota, Metazoa, Chordata, Mammalia, Rodentia, Muridae. The record is from RefSeq and is a predicted model, not a curated record.
CCUCGCGCACGCUCAGACUCCUGGGAGUUGAAGUAUCAAUUCAAGUUAGACUAGAACCAUGGCGGUGACCAAAGAGCUCUUACAAAUGGAUCUGUACGCGCUGCUGGGCAUUGAAGAGAAGGCGGCAGACAAAGAGGUGAAAAAGGCCUACAGGCAAAAAGCACUCUCCUGCCACCCAGACAAAAAUCCAGAUAACCCCAGAGCAGCUGAACUCUUCCACCAGCUGUCCCAGGCCUUGGAGGUACUGACUGAUGCUGCAGCCAGGGCUGCAUAUGACAAGGUGAGGAAAGCCAGGAAGCAGGCUGCAGAGAGGACCCAGAGACUUGAUGAGAAAAGGAAGAAAGUGAAGCUUGACCUGGAAGCCAGGGAGCGGCAGGCCCAGGCCCAGGGUACUGAGGAAGAGGAGGAGAGCAGGAGCACCACCACACUAGAGCAGGAGAUUGCUCGCCUUCGAGAAGAGGGUUCCCGUCAACUGGAAGAGCAGCAAAGGCUGAUCCAGGAGCAGAUCCGCCAGGACCGAGAACAGAGGCUGAGAGGAAGAACCGAAAAUACAGAAGGCAAAGGAACCCCCAAACUAAAGCUGAAGUGGAAGUGCAAGAAGGAGGAUGAGUCCCAGGGUGGCUACUCCAGAGACAUCCUCCUGAGGCUUUUACAAAAGUAUGGGGAGGUUCUCAACUUGGUACUUUCCAAAAAGAAGGCAGGCAACGCCAUAGUGGAGUUUGCAACUGUCAGAGCGGCGGAGCUGGCCGUCAGAAAUGAAGUGGGCCUGGCUGACAACCCUCUGAAGGUUUCCUGGUUGGAGGGACAGCCCCAGGGCACAGUGGACCCCAGCCCCCCAGGACUGUCGAAGGAUCGUAGAAACUAUCUGCAGCUGGGAGAACCACACCCCUGCUGAGCUCGAGGCAAAGCAUAGUCAGCUGCUGUGGGCGAUCUGGAGCAGCCCCCUCUCACACGUGGGAUUAACAUGAAAACAUUCAUAUUGCCGUGUUUGUUUCUAAAUAAACCAAAGUUCUAGCAUCAAAGAAGCCUCGUUCCUCACUAGUAAGUUUCAGCAUUUCACAUCAAAGAUCAUACUCUGUAGGUCAAAUAAGAAAAACCUUUAUUGGUUGCCUCCUGUUUCCAGAGGAGGCUUUAAUCUGGGCGCCUCUGCACGAGAGCAGGAAAGAGAUGUCACAGAUGUGGAUUUGUGAGGCAGUGUGUGUCACAGCUUCCUUUACCCUUCUUUCACACUUGAGUGGCCUGAAGGCCAGACCCACAUGGUCCAGUGCUUCUGGGCUCCAAAUUCAGAUCUGACCAAGCCACAGGACAGGGUAGUAGCACAGUUCAUAGCUUUAGUCUGUUUUGGGCAAGGCAAAGCCCCCACCGCCCGCCCCCGGCCUGUGGAGGGUUGUGGAGCCUCUUGGUGGUGCAUUGUCCUUUCCCUGGUGAGGUUCUCCUCUCUACGGUCUCUGCAGCCUUUCCCAGAGGCUCCCAUCCACAGUGCCUGUGGAAGUCCCCAGAGCUCUCCUUUACAACUGCCGGUUCCAGGAGCUUCUUCCUCGAGCGCUGGGAUCGCUCACAGAUCUGUGGGUAGCUUGAGUCUCGUGCUCUGUUUGCUAAUGAUGUUGGGCCUUUCCCCUGCAUUUUCCUCUGCCUACCUCUCCUGCUCUGUCAGCCCCUCCUGCACUUGCAGCCCAAGGCUGGCAUCUUUCCUUUCCUUACCCAUGCUUCUGAUGGUUACACUGUGUCUGGCCAUCCAGCGCCAUCCAGUGGACGCUGGUUUAACAGUGUCAGUGUUUAUGCUCUGUCAGUAGCUGUCAGUCAGGUGUGGCUGUUGAUGUAAAAUGUGCCUAAGUGGGCUGGAAAGAUGGCUCAGCAAUUAAGAACAUUUACUGUUCUUCUAGAGGCCCUGAGUUCAAUUCCUCGCACCUACAUCAGGUAGCUCACAACUGCUUGUAACUCUAGCUCCAGGAGCAUUAAGUCUUUGCCCUCUGCAGGAACAUGCAUAUACUUCGUGCAGGCAUGCACACACUCAAUUAAGAAUAAUCUUUUUCUUUUUCUUUUUUUUUUUUUUUUCCGGAGCUGGGGACCGAACCCAGGGCCUUGCGCUUCCUAGGCAAGCGCUCUACCACUGAGCUAAAUCCCCAACCCCAAGAAUAAUCUUUAAAAACAUCUUUAAAAUGUGUCUAGAGGGCUGGCAUGUGGCUCUUGGUAGAAUACUUGCUUAGCAUGCAUGAAGCCCGAGAUUUGAUUCCCAGUGCCAAAAAUCUGGGUGUGGUGACACACAUCUGUAAUCCCAGCACUUAGGAGGUGGAGGUGCAAGGAUCAGAAGUUCAACCCUCACUUACAUACAAGACCUUGUCUCAAAAAAAAAUUGACUAGGAUGAAAAGUAACUGAAUUUUUAUUUGUGUUUGGGUCUGUAUGGUGCAUAUGUAUGAGUGUGAGUGUGUGUGUGUGUGUGUGUGUGUGUGUGUGUGUGUGUGUGUGUGAGUGAGUGAGAAGUGGAGGUCACAGGCUGAUCUCAGGUGUCUUUCUCAGUUGUUUUCCAUGUUUUAUUUACUGAGGCAGGCUCUCUUGCUGGGCCUGAACUGUGCUGAUUUUGUUAUCUAGCCAGCCAGCUGCCCCGGGAUCCCUAGUUUCUGCACCCCGAGCACCAGAUGGGCUAGCGCACCUACCCACCUUUUUAAUGCUGGUACUGGAAGUCCAAACUCAGGCCCUCCUGCUUGCACAGUAAGCACUGCAUCCAGGGAGCAAUCCCCCAGCCUCUGGAGCUGAAUUUUUAGUUUGCUUUUCCUUCAUUAAACAGUCCUGUGCAGUAAGUGGUAACUUUUCUAGCCCUGUCUCUCGGACCUCUCCACUUUCCUCUCAUCUCAGUUAGACUACAUCUUCCUAGACUGUCCUGUGACUUCUCUGUUGAUGCGACCUUUAGAGGCUGGUCCAUGCAUGCCACUGUCUGCUCUGCCCAGUCUGAGCCUACUCCCUGGCUCGCCCCUGUGCUGCCCUGUCUCUCCACUGACCUCUGACUAGUUCUUGUGGUUGCAGGUUGUGGCUUCCUUUUCCUGGCCUUUCCAGCUUCCUCCGGGGCUCCUGCCAGAAAGUGACUCCCAUACAUUCCCGGCUGGCUUUUGUCCCUUCACUCUGGGCGACGCGAAGGAUUGGUCAGCAGCCAGAGGGCAGGGAGAACUGUGGCUUCUGGUCCCCACCUCUUCCUUAGUCCACAUUGUCCCUUCCUUCCCUGAGUCCCAGGCUCCACUCCUGGUCACCCCAGUUCUUACCCUUACCGGCUCAGAAGUGAGGCUCGCUUGGGAAUUGUUCCUUUAGUAUCUGUAGAACUUCUUCCAGGAGUGAAAGCCCAAGGUCCACUUUGAAGGAGAAGAAAGGGUCACUGAGAUCUGGAGUAGGUGUCCUCGGGAAAUGGGGAGUGUCCAAAAGGCCCUCCUCUGAGCAUUGGUGGAGGGGCCCUGUCAGGGAGAUUGCUGAAGGCAGGGUGGCCGAGUAGGCAGUGGUGUAGGUUGCUGGGGGCUCCAGAAUGUUGGGGCAGCUGGAGCUCUCUCGGUAGAGGCGUGGGGGCUUGGGUGGGGCCAGUAGGGUGGCUCGGGGAUGCUCAUCCCCCCACAAGGGCAGGCGCCGGCCAUCUGGCCUCCCUCGAAGUUCCCGGAUGACUUCCCGGUUGCUGUACUCCUCGUGGUCACCACCAGCAGUGCUGGCCUGGCUAAGUACGCUGCCUUGCCGCUGCAGCCUCCGAGGCCGCCCCAGGGUGAUUCGCUUGAAAAAGGAGGCAUUGCGGAAGGAGCCUUUCCGCCAAGUCUCCAUGGAGUUCCUGAGAGUCAUCCAGUGAGUCUGGCAUCUGGGAAGCCCCACAAAGGGGCUGAGCAAGUGACUUUGUGCUGGAGUUCCGAAUGCCAGCAACCAGGGGGACACCCCUCAAGGGCUCGCAGCCGAGGCUGUGCGUUUCUGCUGAAGGUGGACCUUCGUCUUUGUCUUGGGUGGUGAGACAAGUCUAGCAGGAGGAAGACUUCCUCUAGAUGAGAGCGCUGCAAGCUCCCACCUGGAGAAGAGCAGCUUGGUUACUUGAUUGGCGGCAUGUGGAAAACCCCAAAGGAAGCAAGGAAGCAGCAGUACUUACAGGGCAGGACAGGAGCAGAUCCGGCUGAGGGAGAGCUUCUCGGUGGGCAGGGCUGGAGCGCCGGCAGGGGAACCCUCCUUCCUUCCUCAGGCAGGCAGCAGCUGGGCCCUGCUCAAGCGCUCUCUGGUGGUCCCUGGCAUGUGUCGAUCUCCUGGCCAGUGUAGAGCUGUGCUCUGUCUGCCAGCAUCUGGGGACUCUGAUUAGUGGGUUGGCUGUUUGUGCCAGCGUGUGGUAGAGAUGUGUUUUGUUUUCAGCUGACUCAGUCAGGUGGGAAGCCAGUUUCAGGCUCUGAGGUAAUUGCAGCAUCCACAGGCUGAGAUUGGGGCAGCUGUGACCAACACCCCAGGGCAGUAGGACGCUUCAGAUUCUUCUGGGACUGGUCUGGGGACAGCCCUGCUUGGUGUGUCACCGGGUUACUUCCUUUCUAGUCAGUGCUCAGCCACCAUGACCUCAGCAGGCCUGCCUGGCUCCCUGGCCCCAGAUGUCUCUGGGAGGAGCCCAAGGAGGGCUCAGUGCUGUCAGAAAGGGACUAUGAGAGUCUGGUCAUGAUGCGCAUGCGCCAGGCCGCUGAGCGCCAGCAGCUGAUUGCCCAGAUGCAGCAGGAAGAUGAGGGGCGGCCCACGUAGCCCCGACUUCAGCCUUCCCACCCCACACCCUUUUGAGUCAUCACCAAUAAACUUUUUAAAAAACA